This 462-nucleotide ribosomal RNA is filed under the name uncultured bacterium. RNAcentral describes it as "bacterial SSU rRNA". It matches the Rfam family "Bacterial small subunit ribosomal RNA", at positions 30 to 511 of the family's 1533-position model. The record is from RNAcentral.
AUUGAACGCUGGCGGCAUGCCUUACACAUGCAAGUCGAACGGCAGCACGGGAGCAAUCCUGGUGGCGAGUGGCGAACGGGUGAGUAAUAUAUCGGAACGUGCCCAGUCGUGGGGGAUAACGUAGCGAAAGCUACGCUAAUACCGCAUACGAUCUAUGGAUGAAAGCGGGGGAUCGCAAGACCUCGCGCGAUUGGAGCGGCCGAUAUCAGAUUAGGUAGUUGGUGAGGUAAAGGCUCACCAAGCCGACGAUCUGUAGCUGGUCUGAGAGGACGACCAGCCACACUGGGACUGAGACACGGCCCAGACUCCUACGGGAGGCAGCAGUGGGGAAUAUUGGACAAUGGGCGAAGCCGUGAUCCAGCAAUGCCGCGUGAGUGAUGAAGGCCUUAGGGUUGUAAAGCUCUUUACCCGAGAUGAUAAUGACAGUAUCGGGAGAAUAAGCUCCGGCUAACUCCGUGCCAG